Molecule: transfer RNA, 72 nt
Filed under: [Bacteroides] pectinophilus
Lineage: Bacteria; Bacillati; Bacillota; Clostridia; Eubacteriales
Rfam family: tRNA
About the family: Transfer RNA (tRNA) molecules are approximately 80 nucleotides in length. Their secondary structure includes four short double-helical elements and three loops (D, anti-codon, and T loops).
Source: RNAcentral
GGGUUAUAGCUCAGCUGGUUAGAGCGCACGCCUGAUAAGCGUGAGGUCGAUGGUUCGAGUCCAUUUAACCCC